GCCGGCCACGGUGGCAUGUGCCUGAAGUCCUAGCUACUCGGGAGGCUAAGGCUGGAGGAUCACUUGAGCCCAGGAGUUCUGGGCUGUAGUGUGCUAUGCCAAUCGGUGUCUGCACUAAGUUCGGCAUCAAUAUGGUGGCCUCCUGGGAGCAGGGGACCACCAGGUUGCCUAAGGAGGGGUGAACGGACCCAGGUCAGACAAGGAGCAGGUCAAAACUUGCAUGCUGAUCAGUAGUGGGAUCGUGCCUGUGAAUAGCCACUGCAUUCCAGCCUGGGCAACAUAGCAAGACACCGUCUUA
This 298-nucleotide signal recognition particle RNA is filed under the name Saimiri boliviensis boliviensis (Bolivian squirrel monkey). RNAcentral's name for it is "Metazoan signal recognition particle RNA (ENSSBOG00000012984.1)". It matches the Rfam family "Metazoan signal recognition particle RNA". From Rfam's summary of the family: The signal recognition particle (SRP) is a universally conserved ribonucleoprotein. It is involved in the co-translational targeting of proteins to membranes. The record is from RNAcentral. Lineage: Eukaryota; Metazoa; Chordata; Mammalia; Primates; Cebidae.